GGGUUGUGAGGUUAAGCGACUAAGCGUACACGGUGGAUGCCCUGGCAGUCAGAGGCGAUGAAGGACGUGCUAAUCUGCGAUAAGCGCCGGUAAGGUGAUAUGAACCGUUAUAACCGGCGAUUUCCGAAUGGGGAAACCCAGUGUGAUUCGUCACACUAUCAUUAACUGAAUCCAUAGGUUAAUGAGGCGAACCGGGGGAACUGAAACAUCUAAGUACCCCGAGGAAAAGAAAUCAACCGAGAUUCCCCCAGUAGCGGCGAGCGAACGGGGAGGAGCCCAGAGCCUGAAUCAGCAUGUGUGUUAGUGGAAGCGUCUGGAAAGGCGCGCGAUACAGGGUGACAGCCCCGUACACAAAAGCGCAUGUGCUGUGAGCUCGAUGAGUAGGGCGGGACACGUGGUAUCCUGUCUGAAUAUGGGGGGACCAUCCUCCAAGGCUAAAUACUCCUGACUGACCGAUAGUGAACCAGUACCGUGAGGGAAAGGCGAAAAGAACCCCGGCGAGGGGAGUGAAAAAGAACCUGAAACCGUGUACGUACAAGCAGUGGGAGCACAGGUUUACCUGUGUGACUGCGUACC
This 576-nucleotide ribosomal RNA is filed under the name Salmonella enterica. RNAcentral describes it as "partial 23S ribosomal RNA". It matches the Rfam family "Bacterial large subunit ribosomal RNA", at positions 1 to 605 of the family's 2925-position model. Lineage: Bacteria; Pseudomonadati; Pseudomonadota; Gammaproteobacteria; Enterobacterales; Enterobacteriaceae. The record is from RNAcentral. RNAcentral also lists the same sequence under 1 other name.